Pogona vitticeps (central bearded dragon) is the source of this 778-nucleotide long non-coding RNA. Lineage: Eukaryota; Metazoa; Chordata; Lepidosauria; Squamata; Agamidae. The record is from Ensembl.
AAUUCCUCUUCCACACAGAGUAAAUUGGAUCCUGGUCUGAAUGCAGGAACGACAACAAUUUUUGCAUGGGGUUGAAUCAAGUCGAACAGUACAGUUUCCAAAAGAUCAUCUACAGAAUUUGUAAAGCAUGUCAAAGCAGACACUGUCCAGAAUUAAUGGAACGGUCCUAAUGGAACCAGUGAAAGACGGACACGUUGACGUAGCAAACAAUAUAAGCGAACGUGAAGUGGCCAUGAUAUUGAUUGCCUGCAGCUUGAGAAGCAAAGAGAAGCUGCAGGAACAGCUGACUCCUUUUGAGGCAUGCUGGUCACUUAGAGAAUUUUGGUCCCAAACACCACCUGUCACCAUGAACAUCCUGCCCAUUGUUUUCGUAACUCUCUUCAUGUCCCUUCUCAUUGAACCAGGUUUCAUGUUGGUUAUACGCUAUCCGGAUCAAUGCAAACAGAGCAAAGGGAAGUGUCGAAACAAAUGUCAGCCAAACGAGAAAGUCAUUGGGAAGUGCAGUGAUUCUGCAUACUGUUGCCUAGUUCGAAAACAACAUGUGUGUCCUAAACAUCCCUUACCCAAGCGUGGAUGAAGAGGUGAAUGGGGAGGAAUGAAGGCUGACAGGUUGGUAAAUAUAAAGGAGCCAUUUUGUGUUCUGCGUUUUGGCUUCUAUGUUUCCUGGUCAACAGAGAGCAACAGCAAAAAUGAUACCAGGAUCCCCUGAACUGCCCUUACGCCUACUGUCACCAUCACCACUAAUAAAUGCAACCAUGGACAAGAAUGAGAAGGUCCC